RNAcentral lists this ribosomal RNA (440 nucleotides) under uncultured bacterium. RNAcentral's name for it is "partial 16S ribosomal RNA". It matches the Rfam family "Bacterial small subunit ribosomal RNA", at positions 338 to 795 of the family's 1533-position model. The record is from RNAcentral.
CCUACGGGUGGCAGCAGUGGGGGAUAUUGCACAAUGGGGGGAACCCUGAUGCAGCGACGCCGCGUGGGUGAAGAAGCGCCUCGGCGCGUAAAGCCCUGUCAGCAGGGAAGAAAAUGACGGUACCUGAAGAAGAAGCCCCGGCUAACUACGUGCCAGCAGCCGCGGUAAUACGUAGGGGGCAAGCGUUAUCCGGAUUUACUGGGUGUAAAGGGGGCGCAGACGGCGAUGCAAGCCAGGAGUGAAAGCCCGGGGCCCAACCCCGGGACUGCUCUUGGAACUGUCAUGCUAGAGUGUCGGAGAGGCAGGCGGAAUUCCUAGUGUAGCGGUGAAAUGCGUAGAUAUUAGGAGGAACACCAGUGGCGAAGGCGGCCUGCUGGACGAUGACUGACGUUGAGGCUCGAAAGCGUGGGGAGCAAACAGGAUUAGAUACCCUUGUAGUC